Molecule: long non-coding RNA, 816 nt
Organism: Rhineura floridana
Lineage: Eukaryota; Metazoa; Chordata; Lepidosauria; Squamata; Rhineuridae
Exons: 2
Source: RefSeq, a predicted model, not a curated record
GCUGACCUUGAUUAUACCAUAAUUACAGCUGAGAUCUCAGCUUGGUUCAGAGCAGAGUUUUCUCCUGAUUAGAAGUGGCUAUUUUCUUACAUGAGAUAUUUGUGGGAGACUCAAGGCUGGCUGCUGAAAUUUGAGUAUUAUGAAUGUCUGAAGAAGCAUUGAAACAGUUUAACAAUCUGGAAUAACUGUCAUCUUUGUAUUAUUGUGUCAUUUUCCACUGCCUGUCAUCUUUGUAUAUUUUUUCAUGUUACUAUAUUCACUGUGGCAGCAUUUUGUAUUGUCUCAUACUGUUUCAGGUCCCAUGGUUUGAGCCUCUCAAUAUAUUUAUCUGUUCUGUUAUUUACAGUCAUUGUGCUCGUUUUUAGUGUGUUUCCAGUUUUCAUUUCAGUUGCAUACCACAGUGCUUUUCAUUUUCCUUUGCAAAUUUGGGUACUUUGUGUAUUUUGUGGUUGUUUCAAUACAUGCAAAACUGGGACCUUCAACAUACAAAAUAUAUGCUCUGCUACUAAGCUGUAGUGCCGUCUUGAUGUUGCGUGUGUGUUCACUUCUGUGCCUUGGGGAGUUAAUGCUUUUUAAAAUUACUAACACUGUUCCUGUUUCACAUCCUCAGCAUGUACAUUUGUAAAUGAGCAAAUAUUAUAAAACCACUAGUACUCUGUCCUUAGAAUAAGACUUACCAUGUAGCAGCUCUUUCUGGGAUGUUAACUUUGAUGGCUGAAGGAGAUUGUUCCCAGCAAUCUGAUGAUCAUUGGAUGAAAGAAUGUUUUUAACUGUAACUGUUUUUUAGAUUCUUUUAAAGCUGUUUUUAGAAUGCUU